UCUGGCUCUGCUUCUUCUCCCCAACUCCUCUCUGUUGGUGUCCCCCAAGAUUCAGUCCUUGGUCCCCUACUGUUCUCCAUCUAUACUACCUCCCUUGGUAAACUCAUUAGCUCCUUUGGCUUCCAAUAUCAUUUCUAUGCAGAUGACACGCAAAUCUACCUGUCCUCUCCUGAUCUCUCCCUGUCCCUCUUGACUAGUGUCUCUGACUGCCUCUCUGCUGUUUCUAACUGGAUGGCUGCCCACUUCCUUAAACUAAAUUUGACCAAAACUGAAAUUCUGGUCUUUCCUCCCUCAAGUGUUGUUACUCCUGUGUCUGUCUCCCUCCAAGUCAACGGUGCUACCAUCAGCUCCACCACGCAGGCUCGCUGCCUAGGUGUUCUCUUUGACUCCGACCUCUCCUUCAAG
Non-coding RNA from Pelobates cultripes (western spadefoot toad), 405 nucleotides. The record is from the annotation of a GenBank genome assembly. Lineage: Eukaryota; Metazoa; Chordata; Amphibia; Anura; Pelobatidae.